AUUAUGUUUGUUGGGAAUUUGAUUUUAUUCUUUGUUUAAUUUUUACUUCACAUUUGCAUUCAUGCAAUGCACGAGAAAUAUUUUUAUAUUUAUUCAUAUAUAAAAUUUAUAUCAACUCAAUAAUUAUCAAUAUAAUAAAAAUAUAUUUUUAAUGAAAUAUAUUUAAGUCGAAUAUAGAAAAAAUAAAGAAAACUGAUAUUAUGAAAAAGCAAAAAAAGUAAGAAAAUAAAAUAACUG
Molecule: long non-coding RNA, 237 nt
Filed under: Salvia miltiorrhiza (redroot sage)
Lineage: Eukaryota; Viridiplantae; Streptophyta; Magnoliopsida; Lamiales; Lamiaceae
Description: long non-coding RNA (SMIL_LNC014014)
Source: RNAcentral